Molecule: ribosomal RNA, 260 nt
Filed under: uncultured bacterium
Lineage: Bacteria
Description: partial 16S ribosomal RNA
Rfam family: Bacterial small subunit ribosomal RNA
Source: RNAcentral
UGGGGAAUAUUGGACAAUGGGGGCAACCCUGAUCCAGCAAUGCCGCGUGUGUGAAGAAGGUCUUCGGAUUGUAAAGCACUUUCGACGGGGACGAUGAUGACGGUACCCGUAGAAGAAGCCCCGGCUAACUUCGUGCCAGCAGCCGCGGUAAUACGAAGGGGGCUAGCGUUGCUCGGAAUGACUGGGCGUAAAGGGCGUGUAGGCGGUUUACACAGUCAGAUGUGAAAUCCCCGGGCUUAACCUGGGAGCUGCAUUUGAUG